AGGAUUCUGAUGAUAAGGUUG
This 21-nucleotide microRNA is filed under the name Schistosoma mansoni. RNAcentral's name for it is "sma-miR-8442-3p". The record is from miRBase by way of RNAcentral. Lineage: Eukaryota; Metazoa; Platyhelminthes; Trematoda; Strigeidida; Schistosomatidae.